RNAcentral lists this ribosomal RNA (246 nucleotides) under Triticum aestivum (bread wheat). RNAcentral's name for it is "partial small subunit ribosomal RNA". The record is from RNAcentral. Lineage: Eukaryota; Viridiplantae; Streptophyta; Magnoliopsida; Poales; Poaceae.
AUGCUUCUACUUUCUGUAUGGAGCUGGGAGUGUCUGCUUGUUGGACGCCCGAAGAGCGUCAAGUUUAAUCCUUGGGAUGAAAAUGGCGAGUUACGUCGCCCAACUUGGGCUUACAAGUGGGAUGUGGUAUCCGAGAUGACGAACGAUGUCAAUCUCAUGUACCAAAAGUACAUUGCCGAGUUGGACACGAUCACGCCUGAGCAGGUAAUGAGGUCAUUACUUCAGUCAUUUCUCACGCUUGCCUGA